Molecule: long non-coding RNA, 1342 nt
Organism: Chlorocebus sabaeus (green monkey)
Lineage: Eukaryota; Metazoa; Chordata; Mammalia; Primates; Cercopithecidae
Source: RefSeq, a predicted model, not a curated record
CACUCAGAGAGAAACAAUGCGUUUUAUCAUAGGGCCAGACAGCUACAUGCACAAGAUGCUACCUGCAGAGAGUGGUUUUUGCCCAGAUGUGCAAGACAGAUGCACAGAGAGGAAGAAAUGCAUACAGGUGUGCAGGUUUUGGCAUGUGCACAAGAAGCCUGGAAGAAUUUUCUUUGGAUCUACAGUCAAAAUGGAUUUCCAAGAGGAAGAGGUCUGAACACACACCUCUUCCCUGUGCUACAUUCGGUCUCAUCUCCGCCAGCCAGGUUUUCAGGAAAGUGAUCAGCACUGGCUUCAGCUCUGGCUAGAGCUCUUUGGCCAAUGUGAUGGGCAGAAAACUGGAAUGAGGACAGAAAAGCACCUCAGAGGUUUGGAGAGUCGAGUCUCUCACCACCUUGCUCCUGAGACUUAUUUGAAUGCCUGUUUCAUAUUGAGCUUUUAAGUAUAACAUUUGUGAGUGAAAUUGCCCCUUUUAUUUUCAAGGGCUCCAAGUUUGCUUCUGGAUGGAAAGGAAGAUGGACUAGAGCUGAUAUCCCCUGCACCCUGGUGAAGAAAUGCACCCUGAGGCCAGAAAAUAGUAUAAACCCAUCUGGCGGCAACAUCCCAGCAGCUUGAAGAGCAAAGUCACGUAGUAGAGCCAGAGAGAAAUUUGCCCUGGGCCUGAUAUUCAUGAAGGCUUUCCAAUUCAGACUCGAUAUCAUUGCCGAGUCAGUGUGUUUGGGAGAAAUCAGAAGCCAACACACUAGAAAAGUUGCAGGAGAUUCCUAGGGGAACCCACAAAGUCAGUUCCUUGCCGGAAACCUAUUCAUCCUCCAGAUGAAUCCAGUGCAUUGGAUGGGCUCAGAUGCACAGGUGACGCAGGCAGACCCCUACUGAAAAGAACAACAGUGGAAGGCAGAUGAAACUCAGAUUGUGGAGUCCGAGAGCCAUGUGGGCCCACUCCAGUUACCUCCACCCAUGGUCCGUGACCAGAGAAUCCUUCAGCAGCAACAGCAGGGAUGUUUAUUUCACUGAUAUGUAUAAAGCGACGGACUGAAAACAACUUGCAUGCCCAACAGCUUGGAACUGGAUAAAUAAUUUUUGGUUCAGUCACACAGUGGAAUAUCAUGCGGCCAUUAAGAAUAAAUAAAAAAUCCUAUACUGUCCAUAUUCAACUUUAAACUGAAAAUAACUGAACAAACACCUUCAUAAUCAGGCUCCCUGACAUUGGAACAUGAAGUGAAGUCCACGUGUGUCAGAAUGUUAACAACAGCUAACUCUUGGUUGUGAUAUUCUGAGUAACUUGUAUUAUUUUUCAGAUUUUCUCCCCAUUCCUGAUGUGCAAAUGUACUAUUUUUACUGU